This 274-nucleotide ribosomal RNA is filed under the name uncultured bacterium. Its description in RNAcentral is "partial 16S ribosomal RNA". It matches the Rfam family "Bacterial small subunit ribosomal RNA", at positions 523 to 796 of the family's 1533-position model. The record is from RNAcentral.
AUACGGAGGGAGCAAGCGUUAUUCGGAAUCACUGGGCGUAAAGGAUGCGUAGGCGGAUAAUCAAGUCAAAAGUGAAAUCCCACGGCUUAACCGUGGAACUGCUUUCGAAACUGGUUAUCUAGAAUAUGGAAGGGGCAGAUGGAAUUAGUGGUGUAGGGGUAAAAUCCGUAGAGAUCACUAGGAAUACCGAUUGCGAAGGCGAUCUGCUGGGACAUUAUUGACGCUGAGGCAUGAAAGCGUGGGGAGCAAACAGGAUUAGAAACCCCAGUAGUCC